GCACGUUAGUCUGUCCCUGUUCAAUUAUCAUUUUUCAUUCACAGCCCCUGCAGAGAUGCACGUCUAUAAAAAAGAAAAGCCAGAAAAAACCAGAAAACUCCUCUCUUAUGAGAGCCGAAGGCAGCGCUUGUCAUUUCCAUGGAAAUCUUCACAGAAAACCCUAGAUCUUUCAAGAUGGAUUGGAAAUCGCCGCAGGCUUCCAAGCUCAAAUCCUCCAAGAAGCUCUUCGAAUUCCAAGCCCAGUCACAGCACUUCUACUACUUAUACAAGACAGUCCUUUUUCUCUCUCUCUCAUCGAUACCUUGAAAGAAGAAAAAGAAAAGAAAAAAAGAAAAAAGAAAAAAUCAAAUCGAAAGCGCUCGUAUUUCGAUCAGACAGAGGCGAGCAAUUCAAUCUCUCUUUUCCUCAUUUUGGAUCUUUGAUUGAAGGAAUCGAAUCGAAGAAGAAGCUCGAUCUUACAGGUGUCACUCCCUUCCUUUUCUCUUGGGUUACCAGCCUACUAUAUUCUAGCUUCAUCUGAGUCUUCUUCUAAUUUAUCACGUUAGGAUGGUGUAAGAUAUGGAAAACAAGUUGCAGUAGAUGAACUAAGUUUUCUCUAUGGAGAUUCUCGAGCUAAUGGUUUUGGUCCUGAGGUGUGGAGCUUCUUGCAUGCUUAUGUUUUGUAUCAGCUUGAUUCAACUAGUGUAUUUCAUUUACACCGCGGUUGCAGAAUUAUGGUUUUAGUGCUUGAACAAGGAGUCUAAAAUAGAUUGGCAAUUGCCCGGUAGUUUUACAGGUAGACUAACAACCAUGCACAUUUUGUUCAGGCCAAAAUGAGAAUUUUAAUGGGAACUUAUGCUCUUUCUGGUGGAUAUUAUGAUGCAUAUUACAAACGUGCCCAGCAGUGUUUUAGGUGAGGACCUUGGUUCAGAAAAGCUUCAAGGCAGCAUUGGAUGAAAAUGACAUCCUCAUUUCACCUACUGCACCAUCAGUGGCUUAUAAGAUAGGUGAAAAGACAAAUGAUCCUUUGGCAAUGUAUGCAGGCCGCAUCAUGACUGUAAUCCUCACUCUGCUGCUCUAUGCUUAUCAACGAAUUACAGUUUUUUUCUAUUCUGAAUAAGUGCAUCAUUAUUUUCAAAAUAAAUAAUUUUUUAAAAGAUUGUUUGAGAAAAUAAAUAAAUGCUCUUCUGCACGCACAAAUCUGCUGAAUGAAUGGAAUUUAGUUUAUUCAACUCAGCGGAUGACUCAUUAUUUUGAAAUUAAUACAUAAAUUGCCAGGCGUGGACUAUUUACACCCACUGUUUUCAUUUGCCCACAACAAUCAUCUGUUUUGCACUAUUUCGAUUCCAAACAUGAAUAAUGGGAAUACAAUAAUCAACCGGGAUUGUUGUAGAUAUCAAUUCCCUACAAACAUUGCGUAGAUUGUUGCAUGGUGCUUGCUCUGAACUAGUCAAUUUACAGAAGAUAGUAGC
Long non-coding RNA from Magnolia sinica, 1451 nucleotides. RefSeq lists it as uncharacterized. Lineage: Eukaryota; Viridiplantae; Streptophyta; Magnoliopsida; Magnoliales; Magnoliaceae. The transcript has 5 exons. The record is from RefSeq and is a predicted model, not a curated record.